UCACCAUCACCAUCGCUACCACCACC
RNAcentral lists this non-coding RNA (26 nucleotides) under Arabidopsis thaliana (thale cress). The record is from RNAcentral. Lineage: Eukaryota; Viridiplantae; Streptophyta; Magnoliopsida; Brassicales; Brassicaceae.